Molecule: long non-coding RNA, 226 nt
Filed under: Elaeis guineensis (African oil palm)
Lineage: Eukaryota; Viridiplantae; Streptophyta; Magnoliopsida; Arecales; Arecaceae
Description: long non-coding RNA (EGUI_LNC004302)
Source: RNAcentral
GGGCUUGGUAUGCACCAUACCCAUGCUUGAUAGAUCCAGGUUAACCCUUGGUUUUUCCAACCUUGCUCUCACGUUACAUUAUGCUCUCUAUUCUUAACGAGGAAUAUGAAAUGAACAGGGAAUGGUUCGGAGUUGGGAGAAUUACUUGUUUUCUAGUAAAAAGCGAGCAUUACUUGUUUUAGGGCGCGCGGUGCUCCAACAAUCGGGCCGUUGGGUCGUCGGCUCC